RNAcentral lists this ribosomal RNA (254 nucleotides) under uncultured bacterium. RNAcentral's name for it is "partial 16S ribosomal RNA". It matches the Rfam family "Bacterial small subunit ribosomal RNA", at positions 524 to 776 of the family's 1533-position model. The record is from RNAcentral.
UACGAAGGGGGCUAGCGUUGCUCGGAAUCACUGGGCGUAAAGGGUGCGUAGGCGGGUCUUUUAAGUCAGGGGUGAAAUCCUGGAGCUCGACUCCAGAACUGCCUUUGAUACUGAAGAUCUUGAGUUCGGGAGAGGUGAGUGGAACUGCGAGUGUAGAGGUGAAAUUCGUAGAUAUUCGCAAGAACACCAGUGGCGAAGGCGGCUCACUGGCCCGGUACUGACGCUGAGGUGCGAAAGCGUGGGGAGCAAACAGG